This 164-nucleotide ribosomal RNA is filed under the name Canavalia rosea. RNAcentral's name for it is "5.8S ribosomal RNA". It matches the Rfam family "5.8S ribosomal RNA". Rfam says of the family: 5.8S ribosomal RNA (5.8S rRNA) is a component of the large subunit of the eukaryotic ribosome. It is transcribed by RNA polymerase I as part of the 45S precursor that also contains 18S and 28S rRNA. The record is from RNAcentral. Lineage: Eukaryota; Viridiplantae; Streptophyta; Magnoliopsida; Fabales; Fabaceae.
AAAAUGACUCUCGGCAACGGAUAUYUCGGCUCUUGCAUCGAUGAAGAASGUAGCAAAAUGCGAUACUUGGUGUGAAUUGCAGAAUCCCGUGAACCAUCGAGUCUUUGAACGCAAGUUGCGCCCGAAGCCAUUAGGUUGAGGGCACGCCUGCCUGGGUGUCACAC